CAUACCUAUUCGAAGGGAUAGGGUCGGUUUGGCCGGAUUUCACACAGGUGUUGCAUGGCUGUCGUCAGCUCGUGUCGUGAGAUGUUGGGUUAAGUCCCGCAACGAGCGCAACCCUCAUCCUUAGUUACCGUCAGGUUAUGCUGGGGACUUUAAGGAAACUGCCAGUGAUAAACUGGAGGAAGGUGGGGAUGAUGUCAAGUCAUCAUGGCCCUUAUGGAGUGGGCUACACACGUGCUACAAUGGUGAUUACAAUGGGCUGCAAGGUCGCAAGGCUGAGCUAAUCCUAAAAAAUCAUCUCAGUUCGGAUUGUUCUCUGCAACCCGAGAGCAUGAAGUUGGAAUUGCUAGUAAUCGUGGAUCAGCAUGCCACGGUGAAUACGUUCUCGGGUCUUGUACACACUGCCCGUCACGCCAUGGGAAUUGGUUUCACUCGAAG
This 435-nucleotide ribosomal RNA is filed under the name Wolbachia endosymbiont of Aphis gossypii. RNAcentral describes it as "bacterial SSU rRNA". It matches the Rfam family "Bacterial small subunit ribosomal RNA", at positions 992 to 1426 of the family's 1533-position model. The record is from RNAcentral. Lineage: Bacteria; Pseudomonadati; Pseudomonadota; Alphaproteobacteria; Rickettsiales; Anaplasmataceae.